RNAcentral lists this unclassified non-coding RNA (161 nucleotides) under uncultured fungus. Its description in RNAcentral is "sequence contains ITS1". The record is from RNAcentral. Lineage: Eukaryota; Fungi.
CAGUUAAUGAGCGGUUCGGCUCGCGCAAGCGAACCGGCCGCCAUCAACCUCCACCCUUGAUUUUGAGCACCUUCGUUUCCUCGGCGGGUUCGCCCGCCAUUGAGGACCCCCUUGAACUCUUUGUAGUAGCAGUUUUUGUCUGAAAUACAAACAAAUAAUCA